GACGAACGCUGGCGGCGUGCCUAAUACAUGCAAGUAGAACGCUGAAGAGAGGAGCUUGCUCUUCUUGGAUGAGUUGCUAACGGGUGAGUAACGCGUAGGUAACCUGCCUUGUAGCGGGGGAUAACUAUUGGAAACGAUAGCUAAUACCGCAUAACAAUGGAUGACACAUGUCAUUUAUUUUAAAGGGGCAAUUGCUCCACUACAAGAUGGACCUGCGUUGUAUUAGCUAGUAGGUGAGGUAAUGGCUCACCUAGGCGACGAUACAUAGCCGACCUGAGAGGGUGAUCGGCCACGCUGGGACUGAGACACGGCCCAGACUCCUACGGGAGGCAGCAGUAGGGAAUCUUCGGCAAUGGGGGCAACCCUGACCGAGCAACGCCGCGUGAGUGAAGAAGGUUUUCGGAUCGUAAAGCUCUGUUGUAAGUCAAGAACGGGUGUGAGAGUGGAAAGUUCACACUGUGACGGUAGCUUACCAGAAAGGGACGGCUAACUACGUG
RNAcentral lists this ribosomal RNA (497 nucleotides) under uncultured bacterium. RNAcentral's name for it is "partial 16S ribosomal RNA". It matches the Rfam family "Bacterial small subunit ribosomal RNA", at positions 28 to 507 of the family's 1533-position model. The record is from RNAcentral.